GUGAGCGCUGUGGGCUAUGGGAUGGAUGAGGUGGAGCAGGACCAGCAUGAGGCCCGACUCAAGGAGCUGUUUGACAGUUUUGACACGACGGGCACAGGGUCCCUGGGGCAGGAGGAGCUCACCGACCUUUGCCACAUGUUGAGCUUGGAGGAGGUGGCCCCAGUGCUGCAGCAGACGUUACUUCAGGACAACCUCUUGGGCAGGGUACAUUUUGACCAAUUUAAAGAAGCAUUAAUACUCAUUUUGUCCAGGACUCUAUCAAAUGAAGAACACUUUCAAGAACCAGACUGCUCACUAGAAGCUCAGCCCAAAUAUGUUAGAGGUGGGAAGCGUUAUGGUCGGAGGUCCUUGCCUGAGUUCCAAGAGUCCGUGGAGGAGUUUGCCGAAGUGACGGUGAUUGAGCCACUGGACGAAGAAGCGCAGCCUUCACACAUCCCAGCCAGUGACUGCAGUGAGCCCUGGAAGACACAACGGAGUGAGGAGUAUGAAGCGGAAGGCCAGUUAAGGUUUUGGAACCCAGAUGACUUGAAUGCUUCACAGAGCGGAUCUUCGCCUCCCCAAGACUGGAUAGAAGAGAAACUGCAAGAAGUGUGUGAAGAUCUGGGGAUCACCCGUGAUGGUCACCUGAACCGGAAGAAGCUGGUCUCUAUCUGUGAGCAGUACGGUUUACAGAAUGUGGACGGAGAGGUAAAUAAACCUCAUAGUAUAAUUUACUCAGGAAUAAUAAUGAAGGUAAAAGCGUAGCUGGCCACAGGCUAGGAACAGCUGUAGCGUGGCUCUCUGCAGUUUGUUAGACUCCAUUUUCUUAUUUUUCUAAGGAGUCAUUCAUGAAGAUUCUGUCAUUGAGGAGCUCUUGUUGUGCUGUUGAAAAGAAAAACUUGGCUGAGCACGGUGGCUCAAGCCUGUAUCUCAGCACUUUGGGAGGCCGAGGCGGGCGGAUCACGAGGUUAAGAGAUCGAGACCAUCCUGGCCAACAUGGUGAAACCCUGUCUCUACUAAAAAUACAAAAAUUAGCUGGGCAUGGUGGUGUGUGCCUGUAGUCCCAGCUACUCGGGAGGCUGAGGCAAGAAAAUCGCUUGAACCUGGGAGGCGGAGGUUGCAGUGAGCCAAGAUCAUGCCACUGCACUACAGCCUGGGCGACAGAGUGAGACUCUGUGUCAGAAAAAAGAAAAGAAAAGGAAAGAAAAAACUGACAAGAGCUGACACAAGCUUUUGUAAGCUCACUGUGCUACUCAUUAUCCCAUGUGAAACUGUCAGGCACUAGCUCUGUGUAGUAUGAUGUCAGAUGUACUUGUAGAGGUGCCAUUCACAGAAUAAAAUGUGGGAAACGUGUGGAGGAAGAAUUAAGCAUGGAUUUCAGUAGAUUUGAGUUGGGGGAGUGUUUUGAAGGCCGGAAUGAUAAAUUUAAGUUUUUGGAAAGAACAUUGAGUAUCAUCCCUGAGUUCUUAAGCAGAUUGAGCAAUAUAUAGAAAAAUCUUGCUUGCUGACGAGGAGCUAAACUGCUUUUACAUAUUGGCAUGAAGAGCGCCUUGGGUGAGAGCAGCCAGCAGCCAUUACAAUAUUCUGGUCGUGGGGAAAUGGAAAAGGGUAGAUUCGUUGUUUUGAAAAUACUAAGAAGAGCGUUGAACGGGCCCCUGAAAGACUCUUCUUUGGUGAAACUCUGAGCUUUAUGUUUUCUAAAAAAUAAAAGAGGACUGGUAGAACUGGGUGCAUGAAUAGCCAUGAAAGAGAAGAAUAGAAAUAAUUCUAAGGUAUUCCCUUCAGUGAGCUGCAAAUAAGGAUUGGAGAGAGUUAGAUUAGGGCUACAGUGGUAGCUUUGGGAAUCUUUGAUUAUAAUGAUAUUUUAAACCAUGCUUUCUGCUUGCUCAGGGGAUAAGUGGUAUUAUUUUUCUAAACAAAUAAUAGCUUUUGAUUUCUCAUCAAAGGCUUCCAAGUAGUCUAGCUUACAGAAUUUUUUUUUUGUUUUCCCCUUCUUCCUUGUGUAGAUCAUUAUAUUCUCUCUGUUUACCUUUUUAAUGGCUCAGGGGUAAUUUAUUUUUCAUUGGUGACUAUGAGUCAUAAAAUUAAAUUUAUUCUCCCGAAUAUAAAUCAGUGCAGUAUGCGGAAACUUGAGUUGUUUUUGCCAAAAAAUAUGGCACAAACUUGGAUUAUUUAUCUAAAACCAGUUCUUGGAAUAAACUGUACCCAUUUGCAGAGAGCUGCAUUUUCUUCUGUGGUGGAGUUUCCAAAGCUCAGGAAAAGAAGUAGCACAUUUAGUUACUUUCCUCUGGCCUGAGGACAAGUAGAGGAUUGCUUAUUGAAUAUAGCUUUUACUUAGUGUUUUUCCUGCUAAAGAAAAAUAGUAAAUACUAUAGUACUUAAUAUUACAAGCUCUAAACCACAGAGGAGCUGGAGUUCAAGAUGAUCUCAUUAACUUGGAAUCCUAAAAUUUUACAACUGAAAGCCAUUUUGGAUUUAGACACCUCUCAUUUGACAGAUAGAGAGAAUGAAAUCAUGGCUGUUCUCUGUGUUCACGAAGGGGAACUAGAGUCACUAUCUUAUGCCUGUAACUAGCACACCCCUUUCCAAAAUCAAGAACAGUGACAGGGCAGAGAUGCAAACUAGCAUGCUCAAUGCCAAAGCUGGCCCCAAGCCUAUUUUAUUUGUCAGGCCCAGUGUUGUUAAAAUUGAACGUUUUGCUACAUUAAGGAAAAAAUCAGGAGAUAUUUCUAAAAAUUGAAAGAUUUGGCUGCAUUUUGUGGGCAGUAAGAUGCAGCCUUUACAGAGGACAUGUGCUCCUUUAGAGAGAAAUGCACUCCUUUAGAGAGACAUGCGCUCCUUUAGAAAGGACAUGCGCUCCUUAAGAGAGACAUGCCCUCCUUUAGAAAGACAUGCGCUCCUUUAGAGAGGACAUGUGCUCCUUUAGAGAGGACAUGUGCUCCUUUAGAGAGAUUUGUGCUCCUUUAGAGAGACAUGCACUCCUUUAGAAAGGAUAUGCGCUCCUUUAGAGAGACAUACGCUCCUUUAGAGAGGGCAUGCACUCCUUUAGAGAGGCCAUGCACUCCUUUAGAGAGACAUGCACUCCUUUAGAAAGGCCAUGCACUCCUUUAGAGAGGACAUGCACUCCUUUAGAGAGACAUGUGCUCCUUUAGAAAGGACAUGCACUCCUUUAGAGAGACAUGCACUCCUUUAGAAAGGACAUGCGCUCCUUUAUGCGCUCCUUUAGAGGACAUGUGCUCCUUUAGAGAGACAUGCGCUCCUUUAGAGAGACAUGCACUCCUUUAGAAAGGACAUGCACUCCUUUAGAGAGACAUGCGCUCCUUUAGAAAGGACAUGCGCUCCUUUAGAGAGGACAUGCGCUCCUUUAGAGAGACAUGC
This 3357-nucleotide long non-coding RNA is filed under the name Aotus nancymaae (Ma's night monkey). RNAcentral's name for it is "lncRNA (ENSANAG00000039339.1)". Lineage: Eukaryota; Metazoa; Chordata; Mammalia; Primates; Aotidae. The record is from RNAcentral.